This 429-nucleotide ribosomal RNA is filed under the name Fusobacteriota bacterium. RNAcentral's name for it is "Fusobacteria bacterium partial 16S ribosomal RNA". It matches the Rfam family "Bacterial small subunit ribosomal RNA", at positions 355 to 776 of the family's 1533-position model. The record is from RNAcentral. Lineage: Bacteria; Fusobacteriati; Fusobacteriota.
UGGGGAAUAUUGCGCAAUGGGCGAAAGCCUGACGCAGCGACGCCGCGUGAGGGAUGAAGGUUUUCGGAUCGUAAACCUCUGUCAGAAGGGAAGAAACCGCACUGUGCUAAUCAGCAGUGCCUUGACGGUACCUUCAAAGGAAGCACCGGCUAACUCCGUGCCAGCAGCCGCGGUAAUACGGAGGGUGCAAGCGUUAAUCGGAAUUACUGGGCAUAAAGCGCACGUAGGCUGCUUUGUAAGUCAGGGGUGAAAUCCCACGGCUCAACCGUGGAACUGCCUUUGAUACUGCUUAGCUUGAAUCCGGGAGAGGGUGGCGGAAUUCCAGGUGUAGGAGUGAAAUCCGUAGAUAUCUGGAGGAACAUCAGUGGCGAAGGCGGCCACCUGGACCGGUAUUGACGCUGAGGUGCGAAAGCGUGGGGAGCAAACAGG